Molecule: ribosomal RNA, 318 nt
Filed under: Triticum aestivum (bread wheat)
Lineage: Eukaryota; Viridiplantae; Streptophyta; Magnoliopsida; Poales; Poaceae
Description: partial small subunit ribosomal RNA
Source: RNAcentral
AUGAUGUUUGUUCGUGCUCUACCUCGUAUCGAGGCUAUACCAGAUCACGCACUCAUUCUCCUAACUACUGGUUUGCCACGACCACAACAUAGACGCAAGUUCAAGUUCGAACUUGGGUGGUUGCUUCGUGAUGGCUUCCAUGACAUGGUCGAGGAGGUGUUGGAGAAACCGGUGGCCGGGUCUACCCCAAGUCCUCAAUACACAGAUGGAAUAACAAAAUGCGUGCAUUACGUAAAUUCCUUGAUGGUUGGGCUAGGCAUACGGUGGGUAUCCUCAAAAAAGAGAAGCUUCGUCUUUCAUCUAUCAUUGAUGAAUUAG